Molecule: long non-coding RNA, 350 nt
Organism: Oxyura jamaicensis (ruddy duck)
Lineage: Eukaryota; Metazoa; Chordata; Aves; Anseriformes; Anatidae
Exons: 2
Source: RefSeq, a predicted model, not a curated record
GGGAGUCGCCGAGCGCUGCCCGAAGUGCUGCCAGCUGGGGCCAACUUGAGAGAGUCCUCGCCCGCCCUCCUCCCGACGAGGCUCUGGCCGCAGCCCCACGAACGAAUGGGGGGAAAGGAGAAGGAGCGUCUCCCAGGAGCUCCCCCAGCUGCACCGCAUCGCCCCAGCCAGCCUGAAGGGAGAAGCGAGCGAGGAGCAGCCCCAGCAGGCGCCCUGCAGCUCAGCCCGGCUCUCCUCUCCUCCUCCCCAGUCUGCCAGCUCCUUCUCCCUUCAAAACUUUCCCCGGUGUUGCGUGCAGGGCUCUGCCGGCUGCUUCUUCCCCGCCGCUCUCCGGCUCCUCCCGCCUCGCA